RNAcentral lists this ribosomal RNA (422 nucleotides) under uncultured bacterium. Its description in RNAcentral is "bacterial SSU rRNA". It matches the Rfam family "Bacterial small subunit ribosomal RNA", at positions 355 to 774 of the family's 1533-position model. The record is from RNAcentral.
UGAGGAAUAUUGGACAAUGGGCGCAAGCCUGAUCCAGCCAUGCCGCGUGCAGGAAGAAGUAUCUAUGGUGUGUAAGCUGCUUUUGUACGGGAAGAAACACUCCUUCGUGAAGGAGCUUGACGGUACCGUAAGAAUAAGGAUCGGCUAACUCCGUGCCAGCAGCCGCGGUAAUACGGAGGAUCCAAGCGUUAUCCGGAAUCAUUGGGUUUAAAGGGUCCGUAGGCGGUUUAGUAAGUCAGUGGUGAAAGCCCAUCGCUCAACGAUGGAACGGCCAUUGAUACUGCUAGACUUGAAUUACAAGGAAGUAACUAGAAUAUGUAGUGUAGCGGUGAAAUGCUUAGAUAUUACAUGGAAUACCAAUUGCGAAGGCAGGUUACUACUUGUGGAUCGACGCUGAUGGACGAAAGCGUGGGGAGCGAACA